CUACUGACCUGGCAGAGAAGAUGCCAUGGUCAAGGAUAUGGUUUUCCCAAGGCUUGUCUUAUCCUUUGUACUCCAGUUGUUCUGAGCCCCAUGAGUAUAGGAAAAUCAACUUUGUAAUUUGUGGUAGUUGGGGGAUUGUGUUUGUGCUCUCUCCUA
Cricetulus griseus (Chinese hamster) is the source of this 156-nucleotide small nuclear RNA. Its record names the gene U1. It matches the Rfam family "U1 spliceosomal RNA". Rfam says of the family: U1 is a small nuclear RNA (snRNA) component of the spliceosome (involved in pre-mRNA splicing). NCBI's taxonomy places the organism in Eukaryota, Metazoa, Chordata, Mammalia, Rodentia, Cricetidae. The record is from Ensembl.